UACGUAGGGAGCGAGCGUUGUCCGGAUUUACUGGGUGUAAAGGGUGCGUAGGCGGCUCUGCAAGUCAGAAGUGAAAUCCAUGGGCUUAACCCAUGAACUGCUUUUGAAACUGUAGAGCUUGAGUGAAGUAGAGGUAGGCGGAAUUCCCGGUGUAGCGGUGAAAUGCGUAGAGAUCGGGAGGAACACCAGUGGCGAAGGCGGCCUACUGGGCUUUAACUGACGCUGAGGCACGAAAGCAUGGGUAGCAAACAGG
This 253-nucleotide ribosomal RNA is filed under the name Neglectibacter timonensis. RNAcentral's name for it is "partial 16S ribosomal RNA". It matches the Rfam family "Bacterial small subunit ribosomal RNA", at positions 524 to 776 of the family's 1533-position model. Lineage: Bacteria; Bacillati; Bacillota; Clostridia; Eubacteriales; Oscillospiraceae. The record is from RNAcentral.